GUGGCCGUGGCUCAAUUGGUACAGCAGCGGAUUGUGGCUCCGCCAUUUUGCGGGUUCAACUCCCGUCGGUCACC
This 74-nucleotide transfer RNA is filed under the name Enterocloster aldenensis. RNAcentral's name for it is "[Clostridium] aldenense tRNA-His". It matches the Rfam family "tRNA". From Rfam's summary of the family: Transfer RNA (tRNA) molecules are approximately 80 nucleotides in length. Their secondary structure includes four short double-helical elements and three loops (D, anti-codon, and T loops). Lineage: Bacteria; Bacillati; Bacillota; Clostridia; Lachnospirales; Lachnospiraceae. The record is from RNAcentral.